This 535-nucleotide transfer RNA is filed under the name uncultured cyanobacterium. Its description in RNAcentral is "partial 16S-23S intergenic spacer". The stretch from base 206 to 278 matches the Rfam family "tRNA". Lineage: Bacteria; Bacillati; Cyanobacteriota. The record is from RNAcentral.
AGACAACAAAAUGUUUAAUAUUAUUAUUUUGUCACCUUAGGUCGAUCGGUAUCUCACGUUCUUAAUUUAUUAAGAAUUUCAUUUCCUAAGUUUUUCUAGGUCACACCCAUUAUUUUCCUGGGCCAUUAGCUCAGGUGGUUAGAGCGCACCCCUGAUAAGGGUGAGGUCCCUGGUUCAAGUCCAGGAUGGCCCAUAUCUCUAUGUUGGGGGUAUAGCUCAGUUGGUAGAGCGCCUGCUUUGCAAGCAGGAUGUCAGCGGUUCGAGUCCGCUUACCUCCACUGAUCACCACCUCUUCCAUAAUCGAUAGAAAGGAAAUGUUUUGAGUUGUGAUCUAAUUCUGAACGAAUCUAGCUUCCUAAUAAAAUUAUUAAGAUGCUGGACUCAUUGAAUUAAUUUCAUUGUUUUCAGAGAACCUUGACAACUGCAUAGAUUAUUUUUUAAAGACAAUAAGCAUCUUUAAUGAUGCAGAUUUAUUAUUUGUGCGAAUGCAUUAAUAACAAUUCUAUUAAGCUGAUGCUUCAAUUUUGAAGUUAUU